AAUCAGGAGCAUCAUAAUCAGAGGAGAGUCCCUUCUCCCCAGUAGUAGACUGCCGAUCGUAAUGCUAAAAUCAAAUUUGAAGUGGCAAAAAUUGAAGUGACUGGUGGCCAUUUUGUGUUUGUAUCUUUUACGAACGAAGCAUAUGAUAAUUUCAUAAAUUUCAGAUUUUCUAUGAAAGAUAAAAUAUUAUUACAAAAGUGGACUGUGAAGAGAGAGAAUUUCAAUGUAACAAAAUAUAGUAAAUUAUGUUCAAAGCAUUUUACACCAGAUUCAUUUAUUCCAUCUGUUACAAAUCAUGUUCAAUUAAGAGAGGGAGCAAUACCAUCAAUUUUUAAU
Molecule: long non-coding RNA, 336 nt
Organism: Gordionus sp. m RMFG-2023
Lineage: Eukaryota; Metazoa; Nematomorpha; Gordioida; Chordodea; Parachordodidae
Exons: 3
Source: RefSeq, a predicted model, not a curated record